CCCUUAGAUGUUCUGGGCUGCACGCGCGCUACACUGAAGCGUUCAACGAGUAUUCACCUUGCCCGGGAGGGUUGGGUAAUCUUUUGAAAACGCUUCGUGAUGGGGAUAGAUGAUUGCAAUUAUUCAUCUUCAACGAGGAAUUCCUAGUAAACGCAAGUCAUCAGCUUGCAUUGAUUACGUCCCUGCCCUUUGUACACACCGCCCGUCGCACCUACCGAUUGAAUGGUCCGGUGAAAUCUUCGGAUCUGAGAGAUGUCUGAUUAAUUUCGGACGCCUUUUGGAAAAGUUGCUUAAACCUUACCAUUUAGAGGAAGGUGAAGUCGUAACA
This 328-nucleotide ribosomal RNA is filed under the name uncultured eukaryote. Its description in RNAcentral is "partial 18S ribosomal RNA". It matches the Rfam family "Eukaryotic small subunit ribosomal RNA", at positions 1470 to 1796 of the family's 1831-position model. The record is from RNAcentral.